CACCUCUCAUUUCACCCUUAUCCCUGUCUCUAAACCGAACCCUAGCCGCCCCCAAAUCCCUCGUCGGCUCCGUUGUGCUCCGCCGCCGGAAAUCGCCCCACGGCGGCGUCGACACCCCAAACCCUACCAAAAUUACACCCUACAACCAUCUUUCCCUCCCCUUUCCAAAUCCCUAAACCAUUUCCCUCGAAUCUUCAUAAAACGGCUCGAAUUUUAGAUCUAAAUCGGAACCUAAAAACCCUAAAUCACCCAAUCGACCCCAAGUUCACACCCUAUAUCACCAGGCCUCCCUAAACCCAAAACCCCCAACAAUUUCCCCAAAUGACCCUCGGAACUCGUCGAAUCUCGGAUCUAGGGUUCGACCUAGUUUCAGCGUUUUGGGAUUUUUUUGAAGUUUCUGCUCGUUUUGGCUGGAAGUUUGCCCAAAUAGGUUACUCUUGACCGGAGUAGCCAUUUGGGUCAACUUCGAGCCUUUCGAAGCAUCUUGAAGCCUGGCCAGUCUUCCGCCUUGUUUUCUUGGUCGUUUUGCUAAAUUCAAUCGGUAUGUAUUGCUGAACAUCUUAUUGGCCAUUGAGUCAUAUACAUGAAGCCUUGGAUCAUUUGCUGCUAUUAUUCCCAAAUGUCACAUGAAAUGUGGAUUAACAUAUAGAUUCUGAUUUUGUUUUGUCUUGUUAUUCUGUUUUUCUUUCUUCUUCUAUAUCUUCUUUUCAACAUGUUAGAGUUUAGCUUAAAAAUGUAUGUACUAGUUACACUACGUCGUGUAUGAUUUCAUUCUGUGAAGACUUUUUGAGGUUUAGCUUAAUAGCAUGGUUCCUUUCCAAGUAA
Nicotiana attenuata is the source of this 825-nucleotide long non-coding RNA. RefSeq lists it as uncharacterized. NCBI's taxonomy places the organism in Eukaryota, Viridiplantae, Streptophyta, Magnoliopsida, Solanales, Solanaceae. The transcript has 2 exons. The record is from RefSeq and is a predicted model, not a curated record.